Molecule: long non-coding RNA, 1178 nt
Filed under: Marmota monax (woodchuck)
Lineage: Eukaryota; Metazoa; Chordata; Mammalia; Rodentia; Sciuridae
Source: RNAcentral
GUCAGAUAUGGUGAUUUUUUUUAAACCUAUUUGGUGCUUGUUUGUUUUUGUAUUUCUGUAACAAUUCUUGAGUUUUGUUCUGAGAUGCAGUUACAUUACCUUUCAGAUCUUUCUUUUAAGAUUUGCUAGAGCAAAAGAUUUUUUUUAAGAAUGGAUCUGGAUCUAGAGCUACAUAUUCCCUACUACUCAGACAUGAUUCCUUUUUCUACUCUUUUCCAUGUCCUGUGAAUCAUGAUGUUCUCUGAACCUGGUUGGUGGGACAGGACACUGUUGCCUAUUCAUCUGGAGCAUUGGAUACUUUACCUCUAAUGCUUUUGGACAGUGUUUUCCUUCACUUCAGAGAGUUUCCCCUUGCCUGUGUGCUGAGCACUAUCCAGCUGGAUGCUGUUGCACUCAGCAGAGGAGGGUUUCUCCAGUUCCCAGAGUUUUCUUUCUUCCUUCCUUCCUCUCUCUCUCUCUCUCUUUCUUUCUUUCUUUUUCUUUCUUUCUUUCUUUCUUUCUUUCUUUCUUCUUUAGUGUAGCCCUCUCCUUUCUAGUCUAGACUUGAUCUCCCCACUCUUACUCACAGCAGAGAGUCUAACAUGCUCUACACUUUGCAGUUUGCCACCACAGCCUGGAAAUUCUCUGAAGGUUAAAGUCUGGGGAAGUGUUGGGGUUCACCUCACUUUUUCCUUCUCUCUCAAAGAUCACUCUUGGUCAGUGAUUGAUGUCCAUUGUCUUGAAAACUGUUCUUUCAAAAGACAACACUGUUCCCUAUUGUUCUUAUCUGAAUGCCAAAGUCCACAGACUGUACUAAUUAGAAAAUUUAACUAUAGCAAAUAAAUUCUAACACCUCUUUAAAGAACAGUUCGCUUCUUUCUUACACUGCUAAGUAUACUAUGCUUCUUGAUAUGGUGAUUUGGGUUCUGUCUAGAGAAUGACUUUAUCAACACCUAGGGGGUCCCAAGAAAUUUUUGUAGCCAGUCAGUGGGCAGGAAAGUGAGUAGAGAGAACACGUUGUUCCUUAGUUAUGUGGUACUGGAAGUGCCAUCACUUUCCCUCACUUUUCAUUGGUGAGCACUUUAAAGCCCCAUCUGGAUGUAAAGAAAUACAGUUGCUGACUAGGCAGGCGUAGCCCAGGGACAACGGGGAAGAGAGAGCAUAGGUUUUAGGUGGAGUGCAAGAUGCCUAUAUUGCAU